This is a long non-coding RNA of Lagopus muta (rock ptarmigan), 13530 nucleotides long. RefSeq lists it as uncharacterized. Lineage: Eukaryota; Metazoa; Chordata; Aves; Galliformes; Phasianidae. The transcript has 8 exons. The record is from RefSeq and is a predicted model, not a curated record.
UUCUCUUUGCGAUGAGAAUUCUGCAAAUGAUGAAUUCAGCUUGGUUUCGUAAUUGCCAUGGCAUCAAGAACUUCUUUCCCUCAAGCUACUGAAGAAAGAAGGUGCAGCAACAGACAGUUGUUUUGGCUUCUCCAUGCCUGGUUUGCUGUCAGUGUGAUCAGAGAGAAGGAAUCCUUCUUGAAGGAUGUCUUCCCAGAGCUGAGGUGUCACAUCUGAAUUAAGUUCACAAAGGACAAACCAAUUCUGAAUUUUGUGCCUGCAGUAUCCCAAACAUGUAUGGACAGUUAGUCUGAAAGUAUAACAGGGACAAAGAAAUGGACUUUGCCAAAGAAAUAUCAACAGGACUAUCAAAAAGCUACUUAAAAUGUUUAAGACUGUGAAGACUUGGGGUUUGGACAGAAGUGACUUAGCACAUUAUGGAGGAAGGUGCUUGAAUGUGCUUCUGAGGGCAGCUGUUUCCUUUCACUUCUGCCCUGUACCAAAAGAAAUGAAAGAAGAAAGAAAAACAUAGGAAGAAAGAGAAAGAAAGGUGUGAGAGAGAGCUUUCAUGUACAACUGAAGGGGUUUCUGUGCUGAAUCAAAAAUGUUCGGUGUUGAAGAGAAUGCUUUGGCUUUCAAAUAUGGAGAGAAGGAGACAUUUCCCAUCAGUGUGACUAGUCUUUUUAAAUGGAACUGAAAUGGAACUUUCCAAAAGUCCACCACUUCGCAGCAACUGGUGUCAUCUGCGAGAGGGAGGCAAAAUGUUGGAAUUUUUCUAUAGAAGAUAUGUAAAUGCAAAGCAACCUGAGAGUAGUAAGUACCAACGUGCUCCCAGUGCAGAUUUAAGAGCCAGACUUCACAUGCACUGCCUGUGCUGCCGUGUGUGGUGUUUUUUGGAGAAAGCAUUUAAAAAGAUCAAAAAAUUCACAAGAGCAUAUGCCCUGCUGCCUUUUACUGCUCUGGAGCAGGGUUGAAUGUGAAGGACUCUUUCAAGCAUCUCUAUUUUACCCCACGUUUGUGGGAUAGAAGAUGAUGUUUCCUUGCAGAUUUCUUUGCCCUGAACACAAUAGACUUAUCCCUGUGAACAACAAAAGACUAAGCUUUUAGUGAUGCUCUUGAUAGUAUAACUUGAUGAAGGAGCUGUACUUUUCUGCCAUAUUUAUCUGCAGUAUAUUUUUUUAUAGCAGCAAUUCUCCUUACUGCAAAUAAAAACAUUUCAUAAGAUUUCCCUAUUUUCCUUAACUCUCACUGAUUUCAGGCAGUCUCACUUCCAGUAGUCUUCAUCAACCUGAAGUGUGUUUCUCUUCAUUUGCACAAGAACUGCAUAAAUGUAUUUCUGCCUUCAUUUGAAGGAAAUCUUGGCAUCAACCAACUCACGUAAGGCAUAUAUCUCUUCCUGUGCAAUAUGUUUUUAUCUUUCCCUUCCAUUUAGUGGUUUCCAGAUCAUUCAGUUCCUCUGAAUUGUCCUGUGGCACUCGCAAUGGGUCUGUCUUGGAGCUAUCCACUGAGACAAAUGCUUUUAAAACCUUGAGGAAUCAGAUGUCUUCCUGUUAGGGCAAUUUCUGCUUGAGUUAACUAGUCUAUUUCCAUGUUUUUCUCAGCUUAAGGGUCUGCCAAGUGCUAGGAGCCUACAUUUCAUUUAAUUUUAGAAUCUUCAAAAUAUUCAGCAUGCACCAAAAACUAAAGAGUAAUUCACAUCUCACGGUUUCCAUAUAAGUGGAAUGAUGCACUAAAACUGAGAAACGUUUUUUGAAAGUGAUACAAUAAAUUAUUUCUACAGUUCACUAAGAUAUCUGUUAGUCUAGAAUUAGUUCCCUAUAGACUAUAGAUUGACUAUAUUUUCUUUCCUCAAUGAGAUUUAUUUUUCCACAACACAUGCUGUUUGGAACUGUGAUGUAAGUUCAAUUUUUAGCAAGUUUGCAGAUGAAAGUAAAAUCUGAAUCUGUUGCUUGUACCUGAAAAAGCAUCUCUAAUAUAAACAUUGCUGUGUAAGUGAAUAGUGCUAAGAAAGUAUAAGAGAGAAUAUUUAAAGUUACUGUAUUAUAUUAUGGUAGUUAAAGUUUUUCUACGUGUGAACAUCUCCUUUAAGCAAAUAGCACUGUGAUGAAAAAUGACUGUUUCAUUUCUGAAUUUCGAGCUGGCAAGCUAUAAUCAUUCUAUCAGAUUUUCUCACAACGUCAGAUUGAAUUUAUUGUUUCCAGUACACUGGGAAGCGUGAGACUUAUGUGAGCCAGUGUGAGAUGAGGUGCCAGAGAAAAAGUUCAGAAUCACUCAGAUGGAACAACUUUUAAGAUGGGCUGUGAUUUUCAGUAUCUAAAAAGAUUAAAUGUUUGCUUCCUGAAAUUAGCAUUUGAAUUUCUCUAUGAAGCAAUGGGAAGGGCUGCAUUUAACUUAUCAUGAUGUCCAUUGCUCAGAAAAUUCAAGAACUUCUGGUAGUAUUUUAAGAAACUCGAAUAAAUGUCAAAGAGCAUACAAUUUAUACAAUUGCUGCUCUGCAAGUAAUGUCUCCUCUUUUAUUAUGUUGGCCUAUGACAUCAGAGGUGGAUGCAGGUGGUUUGGCAGUAGAGGUUGAACCUUCUCCAUCACAUGUUGUUUCCAUGUGACAAAUGGCAGCAGAGCGGCAGACUGACAGAAUGGCAUCUGAAGCAAAGGUGUGUCACUGAAUUCCUCCACGCAGGAGAAAAUAGUCUCCUUCAGCUAAAAAUAUAUCUUUUAUCAAUUAUAAAAAUAAUUUUCAUCUUUAAUAUUUUUAACAAACCUUGCAUAAAUUAAGAAAAAGAAUGAGAAAAAGCAAUGUGAUAUUUCCCAGAGAUCUACAGAGCAAUAUUUCUUUACUGUUUCUUUCUUCUGAGGUUUCAAGGAAAAUAAAAUAACAUUGAGGAGAUCCAUUUUCUAUGGAAACCCAUAAACAGGCUAGCCACUACUAAAAUGCAAUUGAAAAAAAGAAACAUAGUUUUCCAUUUACGACAGAUUGUUCAAAAGGCAACUGACUGCAUCAACUUUUCUCUCUUGCAGUUCUGAUGACAGUACUAAAUGUAACCUCAAGAACCACUUGGGAUUUUCUUAAUAUUUCUUUGACAAAGAGCUAUUUUUUUUGUCAACAUAGCAAGUGAAAUACACAUAGGCAGUAGGAGCAUGGAGGAGUUUAUCCUUAUGUUAUUUCUGGUAUAAGCAAGGAGGCUCGCAAGCUUUGUUUGUCUGGAUGCUAUCAGUGAGAAUGGUGGUGGUGGUGGCAACAGCAGCUCCUGACCUGCCAAUCCCUCUCAGAGAGGGACAGCUAUUUCUCAAGCAAACACAUAGUUUACCUGCACUGUAUGUGCAUUAUAUAGUCAACUCCUUCCAAAAUAUCUUACCCAAUAUGCCUAUGUGUGACAGCAGAUGUCCUGUGCAAAGGCAGUUGAGUGUAAUUGGAAAGUUUUGUUUUCUAUUAUAUAGCAUGAUAGUAUGUUUGUGCCUUUGAAAUGUGGGAUAGAAACACAGCAGUCCUGUCCAUGAUCUCUAAAGCUAAAAUCCUAAGUUAGUGUCACCUGUGUUAACUCUUGGCAUUGCACUUACAGCCAAUACUGUACCAUUGUUUACAGAGCACACUCCAGUACUGCAUGUACAAUCCAGAGCUGAGAUUUCCUGAGGAGAAAGUGCCCAAUGAUGGAAUUUUACUUUCCAAGUGUGGACGACUGAAGGACAGUUCGAAAAGCCUUCUAUCAAUAUUAGAGGAUACUCAAAAGAGUUUACAAUCUGCUUCCGUAAGUUGCUCAGAAAUCCAUUUAGUUUAAAAUAGAAAGUCACACAGUAACAGAGCAGGAAUGUAAUGCUGGUCAGGUGGAGUAGACUAGCUUCUUGCCUGGUCUUCUUGCUACCUCUGCACUCACUGCAGAAAUUGUGUCUCUUCCUUUGUCCAAAGUCAGAGGAAGGACCAGGCAGGGGGCCAAAGCUCAGUGUAGCUGGCUUGUAUUCACAUAUGAAAUUCAUCUGAUGGCAGCUUUCCUCUGCGGUAGGCUUUGAGAUGAGGAGGAGACAGAUGUGAGAGAAGGCUGGCACUGGCUUUGAGACGAGGAGCCACAGGCUGUCAGUGGUGCCGCUGGUAAGUCUGGGAACCAUGUGCUCUUUAAGCAGUAAUAAGUCACUGGGUUUAAUAUUCAUUUUAGGUUUAAAUACCACAACAACUAAUACCAAUAUGCAUUAUGCAAAAUUGCCACAGUAACUGCAGGCUUCAAAACAAAGAUAAACAAUGCUAUUCUCCUUUACUUAUUUUUUAUACAAUUAUACAAAAUAAGAUUGAUAAUGCCUGCUGACAUUUUCUUCCUUAAAAUUCUAGGCCAAUAUUGUGCUACUAAUGAGAUUUCAAAGGCAGGAGAUGAAAAUAAUAAAUUAAAAGCAAUCUUUGCAUAUUUAGCUUUCCAUUUUAGAAAUCUCUGUAUUUAUCUACAUGGUCUUCUAUUAUCUUUUAUUUUGUCUCUCUCUAAUCUCAUUAUUAUAUCUUAAUUCUAACCUGUUCUGCUUUUCGCAGUAAAGCUUGCUGUAAUCUUUUCUGAUAACAUUAGCAUGGGAAAACAUUUUUAUCAAAUGGAUAAUAACAAAAUAAAUUACUUUUGCUCAUUCUGCAAUAAAUAAUAUGAUCUAAAGUUCAUGAUGUUGGGGGCUGAGGCUGUAAAACAAGAUGUUACAAUUCAUAAUUAGCUUUCUAAAUAAUGAAUACUGAAUCAAAUGUAAGUCAUAGCUUCAAAACUCAUGAGUUUUCAGAAUUCAGGAUCAAUAAAAAGCUCAGGUUUAUCAUGUCUGACUACUUAUCCAAGGGGCUGACUGCUAAUUGCUUUGGUCUUUAUCACAUUUCAGAAUGGAGCUGUUCUUUUUGAGGUCUUCACCUGCAGAAAAUAUAUAUUACUGCAAAAUACCACCAAAACAGAGAUUACCACUUAAGAUCUCUUUGCCAUUUCUUAACACAAGAGGAAAUAGCAGUCCAUCAGGAAGGGGAUAGGCAGUUAAAGCAUCUUAUUCCUUCUUUUCACUGGUCUUGGAUUAACCUGUUUGACAUUAUAGAUCAUUCUGAUAUGUCUGCUUAUUUUAGUGGAAUCCCAGCAAUGUGAAGUUACAGCAAUGCAGAGCUGAGCCAAAACCCAGCUGUUUGUAUGAUCUUUUUAACUGUUUAUCUCAUUGGGAAUUGCCAUCUCCUGCCAAAUCAGAUGUGAUUCAAAGGACAUUUAAAAACGGAUGUGAUUAUUUAGACAUGUCCAGACAAUCAUUUAACUCGUGCAAUGUGAAAAUGUAAGUUUUGCUCACUUGCAUGAUAUGCCAUUGGCCUUGCGAGGGCUAGCCUAUAUUUGAAGGCAUUUCAUUGCAUUCUCUUUUUUUUUCUUUUUUCUUUUUUUCUUUCUGAUAGGAAAUGUUAUCUGCAAUGAAUUUUGGUAUAUUACUCAGAGAAGCCACAUGAGCUCUCAGUCUGGAACUGUGUGACUUGGAUGCCUUGCCCAUACAAAUCAACGGCGAGUUUUUUGUACGCUGUUCCAGAAACACUGGCCUUACUGGACAUCAUCUGUUCAUUUGCAGCAAAUCCAAUAUAUCUUCUAAACACUGGGCUAACUGCCCAUGGGUUACGUGCUGCAUUAGAUGCAUACUUUAAUCUAGUAUAUCCCUAACAGGAAGACGCUAACCUGUAGAGAAGUAGGACGAGAAAAAGACUGUCACCCUGAAUUUCAGGAUUAAUUCAAUGAUCUUUUUAUCAUCCCAGUUUAUGUUUUCUUCGAUUUUUGCUUUUUCUUAAAUUUUUGAUUUUUACUUUUGUCAAUCUUGCCACAUUUAACAUCCAAUUUUUUAAUACUCUGGCUUUUCCAGGCUGCUUCUGGUUCAGCUCACCUAACAGUUGUCAGAUAUAGCAUGAUCUUUUUAGCUUUAGCAUCUUGUUCCAUUUACCAUCAUUCCUAAUUGCUAUAUGAAGGUGAAUUCCCAUCUGUAAAUAGAGAUUUGGUAUCCAGGCCAAGAGAAGCAAUCACCUGUGUCUACAUUUCAUAGUGUCAGGUGAUAUUUUAUACACAGUUGUUUUCACAGACCUCACAGAUCACUUGCAGUACAAUAUUUGGGGAGCUGGAAGCCUGACUUAAUGAUCACUGCUCAUGCACAUGGUUGCUGGAAAAUCAUUCAUGAAUAUUGAAUCCAAUUAUUAUGAACAGGUGCAACCAAGUAACUACAUUUCAUGCUCACUGAGAUAUCACAAACACUUAAAUUUGAUAAAGUUAAUACACAAAUAUAUACUCUGGUACACAACAAUAACUUCAUGUACAUUCAUGAGAAUGCAAAUAUAAUGAUCAUGAUUCUCAGUUUUGAGGUUGUGAUCAAGAUUCAUUUGCAGUAAUUUUAAACAAUUAUUUCACCUCAUUGCUUAAUUCUUUCUACAGCUGUGAAUUCAAUAAGGGGAGAAAGAAAAUAGCUUGUGGUAAUCCCUCUCAUACUGAAAGCUGUAACUCAUUUAGGUCUCGGGGAGAAAGAAAGGAAGUGAUUGGUGCUUUCUGAAAAUCUUUCUGAGCUGCAUUGUUCAGUUAUUUCCAGUAGUAGGCAUUUCCUUUUUUAAUUGGGACCAGGUCCCAGGCUCCUUCUGGAACUUGAAUGAGUCAGUCAUGGGCACAUACCUGAGCAUGUACUCACAGUAUAUACUCAAGUCUAUUGGUUAUACACUUUUGACAGCAACUAUGUUUUUAAUCAUAUGGAAAAGCAUAGCAGCUUGUAGGUAGUCAAAGCCAGUUCACAGAACUCUGGUGCCACCGUUGUCAAUCCAGCCCCACCAGAAACUUUUUAGAAUCCAAUUUAAAAAUAUGGAGACUGCUCCAAAAGUAAUGCCUCCUAAUUUAUUAUGUUGGCCCAUGACAUCAGAGGCUAAUGUUGCCAGUAUGGCAGUAGAGGUUGAACCUUCCCACCCAUAUUCCAUUAUAUUUUGUUGCGUCUGUGUGACAGUUGGCAGCAAAGAGGCAGACUGACAAAAUAGUAUCCGACAUGGAAGGGCAUCUGUAGCAAAGAGAUGUCACUGAAUAAUUCAUCCAUGCAGGAAAAAAUGGCACCCAUUGGCAACUGUCAAUGCUUGUUGAAUGUUUCUGGGUAACAACAAGUGGAUGUGAGCGCAGUGAGGUGGUGGUGGUGCAUUUCAGCAGUGUUGACAGUGACAGUCAGCUCCACUGGUGCAGAUGUUUACGAGUGCAGUAUGAAGGCUCUUGCUCAUUGUGGGCAUAGCUAAUGUUAGUGACAAUGUUGAAAAAUAGUAUUUUGUAGCCGAAAAUUUGCUCUAUCAAAUAGAGUUGUUGUAUUCUUUGUAUCUGUUGCAGUUUCUGUGGACAUAAAUAGGAGUUCUUACUUUCAGAGAGACCUACAUAUCUUUCAUCACUGCAGAAACCAGAACGUAAGAACUGGCAUGAGAAAACCAUGUCUGAUUUCCUAUCCAAAUUAUAUUUAAUUUCCCAGGAUUGUCCUUUAUCUUGCAUAAUUCUUCCUGCAAUCUAUGUACCAAAAGAAAAGAUGCAUAUCCUUUUUUAGCCUUCUGCUGAAGAUAACUUCCUGUCUUUCAGAAUGAAUGACUUUCUUUUAUACCUAAAAAUCCUUUAUCUGCAUGUAUUCUCAUAGUUUGUAUUCUUUCCUGAGCUAGGAUACCACAGACCUAAGCAGUGUUGUUCAGCUCCAUUAAUGCUUUUUGAUUUGGAAGCACAAGUGGUGAGUUGCCUCCACUGCUCUGCUGUGAUUGCACAUUGCGUUCACAAGGGAAAAAUGUCCUUAUGAAAAUUGGUCUCAUUAUUUUUAUGCUUCAUAGUUUCCAAUAAAACAAUUUUCACCAGAAAUGGGACUGUUGUACAUCACUGAGCAGAAAAGGAAAUGUUCAGCAACCUGAUAACCUUGUAGAAAUUGUUGUUGCUGACCUGAGCCCUGAGCUGAAAGUUAAAAUGAUAACAGCAAUAAUAAUAACAAUACUAUUAAUCUCUAAUGACUUCAGAAAAUACUUCUUCCUGUUUAGAGAAAUUCUGUGUACUGAAUCUUUGAGUUCCAUCCUCAGUAUUCACUUGGGUUUCUGUAUAUAAUGAUUCCUUAUAUAUUUAUCAAAAGUCAUCUUCAUCAAUUCAAUCUUCUGUCUGUUGGGCCAUAUUCUCCCUCAUUAUUUCCAAGGUGAUGGCAGGGCACUUUGCAAUUGGCCUUCAGUGAGAUCUGCUAACAAAAUCUCUCUCUCCUUUAAUAUUUUUCUUUAACAGCAAGGAAUAAAAAAAGGCAUUUGAGUAUUCCAUAACCUAGACAAGGACUGAAAGUGGCCUGAAUAUGUCUGGAAUAAUAGAGACCAAUUUUUGAUUAGUUCUGGUUAUGUAAAACCGAAGAUAAUUAGGAUUUCCUCCAAAACUUUAAAAUUAAAAAAGGAAGAGAUUAUUAAAGUCUAUCUAAAUAGUCAGAUUAAGGUUUGCUCCUCAAGUUUUUAGCUUUGGCACUUCUUUAAGCAAUGUGGAAAUGUAGACUAUGAGUAACUGGGAUAUGCAGCACAGAAUGGUACUUGGAGGUUGAAUUCAUACUCCUACCCAAAUCAACAUACACAUGUGCACACUCAUUUUGCAUUUGACUUAGGCAAGGACAGGAAUUCACUUCAAAGUGUUAAUACUGCCUACUUACCAGGAGGGUGACUUGGAGAACAACCAUUUGCCUUUCUUAUGUUUAGUGGGCAUCCGCUGGGCAGAUGUAGGAUAACAUAUUUUAGAUUAAGCCUUGUGUAACUGCUUAGAAGAUGCUGUGUCUUAUUUACAUUUUACCAUCUCUCAAGGAGAAUGUAAUGCUAUUAUCCAUAUGUCAUCUGCUUAUUGUUCUUGAAUAAUGCAUACAAGAUUCGUGACUUCCCACUGUGGUACUUCAUACUCAUGUUGCUGUAAUAUUACAUCCAUUUAAAGCUGUACUAAUGUAGUGGCAAAUAAGGCUAUCCAUACGUUCAGCAUGUCUUUCCUAUCCAUAAAGAGAAGCCAAGUCACAGAUGGUUUUUACAAUGUUAUAAUUAAUAAUCAUGGUAUCAUGUUAGUGUCAUCUUAACAUAAUAAAAAAGUGGAUCUAUAAAUUGUUUUCAGCUUUUUCACAGCAUUUACAAUGACUUUUUGUAGCUUUUCCCAGCAGCGGGAUCUCUGACAGUAACAUUUUUUGAGCUGCAUUCACAAAGAAUAAUUUCAGGUUAAUGAUUUUUUUCUUGGAUACUAUUUGUGAAGUGGCAUCAUUAAUUUUUUUCUAUCUAUCAUUUUUUAGUCUAGUUCUUUAUAGAGCUAGAUUUUUAAAACAAAAAUCUUACCUUUUCUUUCUUAGAUUUCCAAGCAAAUAUACUUUGCAAAACAUAGUGUGUUACAUCAUUCCUCUGCUGGCCUGAAUUUUGAACAGCCUAAGAUGAAUGUCAUUUCCAAGUCUCAGCACCAUAAUAUCUAUGUGGGCAGCCCAAACCUGGAUUGAUACAGAAAUACUACCUGUUCUUUUGAGGUUACCUUUACUACCAAUUCUGUAAAGCGAUGGAGGAAUAUACAGUAUGGGUAUUGGUGAACUGUAUCAUUGUAUGAGUAUGUAUUUUCUUCAGUGAUUUGUGGUAUUUCCUGUUCUUUCUCUUUGCUGAAAAAACAUGGGUAUGUUUCUAAUUGAGCUCAUGUUUGGUCUUUUUUUUUUAAAUCUGGAUAAGAUUAUACCAAGAGUAGAUGCAGCUCUAAAACACUGCUCUUUCUGUAACCUCUAAAAGCACAUUCGAAGUUCCCUUUUAAUCUGGGUUUCCCUCAGUCUUGCUCCCACUCACAGGGACAAACCCUGUUGAGGGGCUCUGUAUUACCAUCUUGAUCUUGACAGUAACUGGCAGUGAAAUGGCAUACUGGGAUAUGUUAAGGGUGGAGAUGUCCUAGCAGUUUAUUUCAGAACCUCAAGUCAAAUUUCAUUCAAGUUCUUUUUUUGAGAAUGGCGAAGAUUAAGCAUAUUCCCAGACUCACCUGGCUGUUGAGGAGCCCAGCCAUUGUUGUACGUUACAGGCAUGCUGGAGGGAAUGUACUCUUCAAGAAUAGUUAUGUAAUUUGAUUAUUUUGUUACCUAAACACAUGUACUGUUUCCUACUCAGAAAAGAAUAAAUAUAUUUUUAUACACAAUAGCUGUAAAUUACUUGAUGUCUUCUGCUAUUCUAAAUCGGAGUUCUUCGUUGCAAUAAAAUGCACAAGGAGCAAGAAAAUAUUUACAGUCAUAUUGUUGUAUAUUUCAGAAAAAGUCUCUUGCAGUGGCCCAAAGAGAUGAUAUCUGGAGAGUCUAAGGCUACAAGCUUAAUGUGUGCCUGGUCUCUUCCAAGCUCCAGUCCUCGUUUUAUUGGAAAUUUACUGAAUCACCACGAAGAUUUGAGUUUAGUAUUAAACAAUGAACAACUGGAAACUAGUAAAUUUAAAACCAUCAAAAAGCUUCAAGAUUCUUCUUGGAUGAAAUCUUUGUUAUCCUGGAUUUACAAAUCCUACUGUAAUUCAGUGACAGUCAAACUUACUUUUUCCCACCUUCUUCAAAGCUAUAAAAAACUUUGCUUGCUACAGAAAUUGCAGAGUUAAAUAUACCUUCAGAUUUCUGUGAAUAUAAGCCAUUUCUCCCUGAAUUUUGCUGGCUAGAUUGAAUUUCUCUCUCUCUUUUUUUUUUUUUUAAGGAAAAACGUAACAUUUGGUAUUAACUUAUUAGGUGUACUUGGUAAGUAAAUGUAUUUUAAAACUUUUUUACAGAAUAUUUCUUUCAAAAUAGCUGUAAGAUACUGAAAUACUUGUUUUAUAACAUCACCUAUCAUGAUUGAAUGGAACGAGGUAAUGUCCAACACUGUCUGAGUAACUUCAUCCUUCUUCCAAAUUUGCUGAACGAUCAUUUACUGUUUCCUAUUUCAGAUGAUCAAGCAUUUUAUUGAUGAACCUUAUAAAAAACUUAUUCAAAACCAUACUGGAAUUCAAUGACAGAUCUGAAAAUUGAAUGGCUUUUGUGCAUGGACCACCAUAGGUUGUAUCAGGAAGAUCCUGAUAUAACCAAGUAGUCCUCCAAAGACAAACCUCUCUCCAGGAGUAAAAUAUGAGCUACAGUCCUGGAGGGGGUUAACCCUCAGUUCAAGAAUAGUUAUUCAUUCCUGUAAUUGAAUACAAAAGACAUAGGGAUUGAUUUUCACCUACACCCAAAUUCAUGGCUCCUGUGAGGGUCUAAGCUGCUGACAAAUAAUUUCAGCUUCAGCCAUUGAUUAUGCUUCCAUAGUGAACAUUAGAUAUACACUAAAAUUGAUAUAGCAUGUAUUGCAGGAGUCAUAUAAUAUAAGUACUCCCCAUUUCUUAGCCAAUCUGUCACUACUCUUAAGCUGUGCCAUGCACAGGAGAUGCAGGAUUUGCUUUCCUAAGGAGGAAAUGGCCAUCAAGUAGAAAAAUGAAUUCACCUUUAUUGUACUGUGGUGAUGUGGUGAAGAUAAUUACUGCAGCUCUAUUACAUUUGUUUUGAAACACAUAGCCUUUGCCUUUUCAAAUUGCCUUGACCAUAUCACCACUCGUGUAUUUGCAAUGAAAAUCUGACAUCAGAGGACAGAAUAAUAACAGGAGAAAUCCUCAUUUCAUAUUUACCUUGUUUACUCUCCUGAGUCACUGAAAACACAGUGAUCUAGGUCCAUGCUUUUAUACUUCUUUUUACUAUAUAUACACACAUAUAUAAAAAAAUUAGCGUGUGUACUGCCAAACUCUGUAGGUCGCUACUCAUCUUCCCAGGUAUCUUCACACACCAUAAUUUCUGGUGCUUAGAAUUGGUAGACUGCAAAAAGUAGCACUCCUGUGUUCCCUCUCAUUCAUACUGUGAAUACUCAGUUCUCCAAGAAUUUUGCUGCUGGUUUCUGACCAGCCAAGCCCAUAUCAAAACCAGCCAAAGUCUAAUCAUAAUUUUGCCAAUUAAAACUUGUGUGCUAUUAUUUGGUGUUUUUUUUUGUUUGCUUUUUAUUUAUUUUUUUUAUAGUCUAAAGCAUAAUGUACUGUCUGCUGUUAAAAUACAAUCCUGUUUACCUCCUCAUGGCUCACUGAAAAAAAAAGAUAUAUGCUUACAAUGACAACUUUUAAAAUGUUUUUUAUUUCUUCAUAUUUCUCCUCAAAGCUUCAAUUUAAUCAAUAAUUCUAACUAGCUAUCAGAGUACUUAUCUUUAUUUUUCCUAAUAAAAAUGAAUAGUUGGAGUAGAAUGUGUCCAAAGCCAUUUUUAUCCAUUCCUUCUUCAUGACUUACCUCUUCUCUUUUGUGUAGUGAAUUUUAGCAUUUCAAAUUUUAAGGUAAAGAAAAAUCCUUCUCCUUGAAGAAGAAUUUCUCAUCAAGAGAGCCUUUUUUUUAAAGUAAGGAUAGCAAAUACAGCCUGAUGGAAUAAACACCUUAAGACAUUUUCCAUACAUGAAUAUCUCUUUAACAUAAUUAAAAUUCUAGAGAUUAAAUUCUUUGCAGGCUUAACUCAACUGAAAGAAUAAAAGACAUUGUGAUAAAACUGUAUGAUUACUUCGGUCUCCAUGUAGUAUAAAGUACAAUUCCAUAGGAUUUCUUCAGUAACCCACGUUCAUAGUGAUCUUAAUUUUUGCUUUGUCAGAAGAGCUUUAUGAUAGGUUAAUUCUUCAGAAAUACAUAUCAUCCUUUACAGCAUAUUUCAUUUAUUUCUCCAUUAUGAAACGCAAUUUUUGGAAUUAUUAUUCUUUUUAUUAUUAUUGUUAUUACAGAACUUCCAGUGUUGGACAAAUUUACUGCUGGUACCUUCCUGUUUUCAUCCCUUUUCUUCCAAUUCCGGUGCCUAAACAAUUGAUUGUUCACUUGGAAAAACAAUUUGUUUUCCCUAAUGAAAAAAGAUAAGACUGCAUUGCCUAUUUUGUGUGGAACCGGGGCUCCUCCACCUUCUGCAUUUUAUCCUAUUACAUCAUAAGUCUUGCUUCUAGAGAGAAAUCAGAAUGAGAGAUUGCAGCCUGUAGAGCUGCUACUUAUAUAGUUGCUACAGCUACUAUCUUAGCAUGCUCAAACAUAUUCCUGAUCUGCUUUUUUUUUCCUCGGUUUUUUUUCUGAUUAAUGGUGGUUUUCCUGAUAUGUUAGAAUAUCAUUGUUGUAUCCGCAGAAAUACUAUCUCUCAUUUGAAGGGUGGUGGGAUUUUUUUCAACUUAAAUGUUUAUUUUGUGCAUAAUAAUACUAAUUUCAGUUCCUAAUUUUCAAGUAAGGCAAUUAGGACACUAAAAGUUCCCAAUCAUGGAAAAAAUGAUUAGUUGCUAGAAGAUAAAGAUUUGCAAAUUUGAACAAAUUUGUAUGUAUUUAUGUAUAUAUGAGUUGGUUUGCAUGCGCAACUUUGAAUUUUACAUAAAUGACAUGAACUCAUUUAAAUAUAUAAAAGUUAAAAUCCAGUAUUUUUUCUAUUCAUGUUAUGUGGAAUUUAAUAGCUUUUUAAAAAAGGCGUGCAUUUUCAUGUAUUGAAAUGUAAGCAAAAUUAUGUAUAUUCUUCAUUAACUUUUGCAGUGUGGAUAUGUAAGUGAAACUAAGCACUCAAAAGCUAAGCAAAGUUUGUGUUGUUUACAUAAAAGUUUUGGU